GGGGCAUGAACAUGGCUCACUGCACCCUUGACCUUCUGGGCUCAAGCGAUCCUCUUGCCUCAGGCUUCUGUUUAGCUGGGGCCACAGGCGGGCACCAAAAUGCCUGGCUAAUUUUUUUGUUUUUAUUUUGGUAGAGACGAGGUCUCACUUUGUUGCCCAUGCUGUUCUCAAACUUCUCGGCUCAAGUGAUCCUCCCACCUCGGCCUCCCAAAGUGCUGUGUUACAGGCAUAAGCCACCGCACCUGGUCUCUACUUUGUUCUUACUCUUCUUCCUGACUCUGUGAUCAGCUCUUUUUCCUCAUUGACAUCUCUUAUCACCAGCAGAGGCCUACCACUAGACACCAGGACUCAUAGUCUUGGGCAAGAGCAUCUG
RNAcentral lists this long non-coding RNA (373 nucleotides) under Pan troglodytes (chimpanzee). RNAcentral's name for it is "long non-coding RNA NONPTRT001864". The record is from RNAcentral. Lineage: Eukaryota; Metazoa; Chordata; Mammalia; Primates; Hominidae.